UAAUACGUAGGGUGCGAGCGUUGUCCGGAAUUAUUGGGCGUAAAGGGCUCGUAGGCGGUUUGUCGCGUCGGGAGUGAAAACACUGGGCUUAACCCAGUGCUUGCUUUCGAUACGGGCAGACUAGAGGUAUGCAGGGGAGAACGGAAUUCCUGGUGUAGCGGUGAAAUGCGCAGAUAUCAGGAGGAACACCGGUGGCGAAGGCGGUUCUCUGGGCAUGAUCUGACGCUGAGGAGCGAAAGUGUGGGGAGCGAACAGGAUUAGAUACCCUGGUAGUCCACACCGUAAACGUUGGGCGCUAGGUGUGGGGUCCAUUCCACGGGUUCCGUGCCGCAGCUAACGCAUUAAGCGCCCCGCCUGGGGAGUACGGCCGCAAGGCUA
RNAcentral lists this ribosomal RNA (378 nucleotides) under uncultured bacterium. RNAcentral describes it as "bacterial SSU rRNA". It matches the Rfam family "Bacterial small subunit ribosomal RNA", at positions 521 to 896 of the family's 1533-position model. The record is from RNAcentral.